This 212-nucleotide long non-coding RNA is filed under the name Nicotiana benthamiana. RNAcentral's name for it is "long non-coding RNA (NBEN_LNC019804)". Lineage: Eukaryota; Viridiplantae; Streptophyta; Magnoliopsida; Solanales; Solanaceae. The record is from RNAcentral.
AGAAUCAGAAAUACAGUAGAGAGAAUCAGUGAAAAACAGAGAAAAAAGACAGCAGUGCAGCAACCUGGUUUUUCUUCCGGAUCGGAGGUCAAACGGAGUCUGUUCGUCCUCAAAUUUUAGUAUGUUGUUCGUGAGACUCUCCUCUACAAGUACACGAAACAGUUUUUCAUUUUGAGGCCCGGAAGGUCGGUUUUUGCUGCGUUUUUUACANN